RNAcentral lists this ribosomal RNA (310 nucleotides) under uncultured bacterium. Its description in RNAcentral is "partial 16S ribosomal RNA". It matches the Rfam family "Bacterial small subunit ribosomal RNA", at positions 503 to 809 of the family's 1533-position model. The record is from RNAcentral.
AAGAGACAGCAGUCGCCGCGGUAAUACGAAGGGGGCUAGCGUUGCUCGGAAUGACUGGGCGUAAAGGGCGCGUAGGCGGAUUGUUUAGUUAGGCGUGAAAUUCCUGGGCUUAACCUGGGGACUGCGCUUAAUACAGGCAGUCUAGAGUGAGGAAGAGGGUUGUGGAAUUCCCAGUGUAGAGGUGAAAUUCGUAGAUAUUGGGAAGAACACCGGUGGCGAAGGCGGCAACCUGGUCCUUGACUGACGCUGAGGCGCGAAAGCGUGGGGAGCAAACAGGAUUAGAUACCCCGGUAGUCCCUGUCUCUUAUAA